This 407-nucleotide ribosomal RNA is filed under the name uncultured bacterium. RNAcentral's name for it is "partial 16S ribosomal RNA". It matches the Rfam family "Bacterial small subunit ribosomal RNA", at positions 30 to 526 of the family's 1533-position model. The record is from RNAcentral.
AUUGAACGCUGGCGGCAGGCCUAACACCUGCAAGUCGAGCGGAGCGGCGGACGGGUGAGUAAUGCCUAGGAAUCUGCCUGGUAGUGGGGGAUAAAGUCCGGCAAAGGGCGCUAAUACCGCAUACUAUCAGAUGAUCCUAGGUAGGAUGCGCUAGUUGGUGGGGUAAAGGCCUCCCAAGGCGACGAGCCGUAACUGGUCUGAGAGGAUGAUCAGUCACACUGGAACUGAGACACGGUCCAUACUCUGACGUGAGGCAGCAGUGGGGAAUAUUGGACAAUGGGCGAAAGCCUGAUCCAGCCAUGCCGCGUGUGUGAAGAAGGUCUUCGGAUUGUAAAGCACUUUAAGUUGGGAGGCGUUACUAACAGAAUAAGCACCGGCUAACUUCGUGACAGCAGCCGCGGUAAUAC